CCUACGGGUGGCAGCAGUAGGGAAUCUUGCACAAUGGAGGAAACCCUGAUGCAGCAACGCCGCGUGAGUGAUGAAGGGUUUCGGCUUGUAAAGCUCUAUCAGUAGGGAAGAAAAUUACGGUACCUAACUAAGAAGCACCGGCUAACUACGUGCCAGCAGCCGCGGUAAUACGUAGGGCGCAAGCGUUCUCCGGAUUGAUUGGGUGAAAAGUGAGCGGAGACGGGUGUGCAAGUCAGAUGUGAAAGCCGAGGGCUAAACCUGAGGAUUGCAUUUGAAACUGUACUGCUAGAGUGUAGGAGAGGCAGGUGGAAUUCCUAGUGUAGCGGUGAAAUGCGUAGAUAUUAGGAGGAACACCAGUGGCGAAGGCGGCUCUCUGGACGGCAACUGACGCUGAGGCUCGAAAGCGUGGGUAGCAAACAGGAUUAGAUACCCCGGUAGUC
This 440-nucleotide ribosomal RNA is filed under the name uncultured bacterium. RNAcentral's name for it is "partial 16S ribosomal RNA". It matches the Rfam family "Bacterial small subunit ribosomal RNA", at positions 338 to 795 of the family's 1533-position model. The record is from RNAcentral.